This 468-nucleotide ribosomal RNA is filed under the name uncultured bacterium. Its description in RNAcentral is "partial 16S ribosomal RNA". It matches the Rfam family "Bacterial small subunit ribosomal RNA", at positions 28 to 507 of the family's 1533-position model. The record is from RNAcentral.
GACGAACGCUGGCGGCGUGCUUAACACAUGCAAGUCGAACGGAAAGGCCCUGCUUUUGUGGGGUGCUCGAGUGGCGAACGGGUGAGUAACACGUGAGUAACCUGCCAUUGACUUUGGGAUAACUUCAGGAAACUGGGGCUAAUACCGGAUAGGAGCUCCUGCUGCAUGGUGGGGGUUGGAAAGUUUCGGCGGUUGGGGAUGGACUCGCGGCUUAUCAGCUUGUUGGUGGGGUAGUGGCUUACCAAGGCUUUGACGGGUAGCCGGCCUGAGAGGGUGACCGGCCACAUUGGGACUGAGAUACGGCCCAGACUCCUACGGGAGGCAGCAGUGGGGAAUAUUGCACAAUGGGCGGAAGCCUGAUGCGGCAACGCCGCGUGCGGGAUGACGGCCUUCGGGUUGUAAACCGCUUUCGCCUGUGACGAAGCGUGAGUGACGGUAAUGGGUAAAGAAGCACCGGCUAACUACGUG